GACGGACGCUGGCGGCGUGCCUAAUACAUGCAAGUCGAGCGGACUGAUGGGAGCUUGCUCCCUGAAGUCAGCGGCGGACGGGUGAGUAACACGUGAGCAACCUGCCUGUAAGUCUGGGAUAACUUCGGGAGACCGGAGCUAAUACCGGAUAACACCAAGGACCUUAUGGUCCUUGGUUGAAAGAUGGCUUCGGCUAUUACUUACAGAUGGGCCCGCGGCGCAUUAGCUAGUUGGUGAGGUAACGGCUCACCAAGGCGACGAUGCGUAGCCGACCUGAAAGGGUGAUCGGCCACACUGGGACUGAGACACGGCUCAGACUCCUACGGGAGGCAGCAGUAGGGAAUCUUCCGCAAUGGACGAAAGUCUGACGGAGCAACGCUGCGUGAGCGAUGAAGGCCUUCGGGUCGUAAAGCUCUGUUGUUAGGGAAGAACAAGUACCGUUCGAAUAGGGCAGUACCUUGACGGUACCUAACCAGAAAGCCACGGCUAACUACGUGCCAGCAGCUGCGGUAAUACGUAGGUGGCAAGCGUUGUCCGGAAUUAUUGGGCGUAAAGCGCGCGCAGGCGGUUCCUAAAGUCUGAUGUGAAAGCCCACGGCUCAACCGUGGAGGGUCAUUGGAAACUGGGGAACUUGAGUGCAGAAGUGGAAAGCGGAAUUUCCACGUGUAGCGGUGAAAUGCGUAGAGAUGUGGAAGAACACCAGUGGCGAAGGCGGCUUUCUGGUCUGUAACUGACGCUGAGGCGCGAAAGCGUGAGGAGCAAACAGGAUU
Molecule: ribosomal RNA, 770 nt
Filed under: uncultured bacterium
Lineage: Bacteria
Description: bacterial SSU rRNA
Rfam family: Bacterial small subunit ribosomal RNA
Source: RNAcentral